RNAcentral lists this transfer RNA (62 nucleotides) under Georissa bangueyensis. RNAcentral's name for it is "tRNA-Cys". The record is from RNAcentral. Lineage: Eukaryota; Metazoa; Mollusca; Gastropoda; Cycloneritida; Hydrocenidae.
AAUCUUAUAGUUGACCCACAACAUUGAUUUGCAAAAUCAAAAGCAUUAUUUAAUUAAGAUUU